Molecule: long non-coding RNA, 1673 nt
Filed under: Olea europaea subsp. europaea
Lineage: Eukaryota; Viridiplantae; Streptophyta; Magnoliopsida; Lamiales; Oleaceae
Source: RNAcentral
AUGUUAUCGAAGGUCCCAAACCUUUUAAAAAUAUGUAGUAAAGGUCCAAUUGAAUGGAAACGUCUGUACUAUUGUUAGUUAACCUGAAAAAUAAAAAUUUGACCACUCUUUACCAAAUUGAAAAGGAUAAAAUGGUGUAUUUACAUUUUUCCAAAUAUCGUUAACAAUUAGAGCAACUAAACUAAAAGCCAAAAACUGGAAAAAAAAAAUGAAAAGAAAAGAAAUCUGCCCUAUCUAACCACACCCACACAUACAUCCACCUGUCUUCAUCAUCUUCUUUUUCUCCUUGUCGGCGACGGCCACAACGCCACCACCCUCUUCUCUUUCCAAAGCCUACUGCAUCUUCUCUUCCACCUAUACUUGCCUAUCUACAUUUGCAGUUGUAGAAAAACAAAUUUGGAGUGAUAUUUUUCCAAUUCUUUGCCAAAUCCAGUUUUGCAGGAACUUGAAAAUCAAAUCUAGAGUGAAAUCUGAGUUUUGCUGAUCCUACAAACUUUAUUUUUUUUUUCGAGACCCUUCAAAAAACUACAAUAUCGGGUACCCAUUUUUGCCGGUGCAAAUGAGGGAUCUAGAGUAAUUUUGCGUCUACAGUGAAAGACAGAAAACUCUUGAAAAGUUUUGUGAGUGCGGGGGAAAAUCUAGGUUCCAUUGGGUCUUUGUCGCUCAUCGAAGCUCUGGAACAGGGUACGACGAAGGUGGUGGAGACUGCUAACAAUAACCUCUAUGUGGACCCCCUUGUUAAGGUUGGGAGGGAACUUGCGUUUGCGGUUGGGCUGGUAGGAAGGUGAGUCGGGGAGUUCAAUGGUGGUUUUUUUGGGGCGUGAGCGGAGGACACGGAGGUAAGAGGCGGAUGUUGAUAUCAUAUCAGUGAAGAUUUUCCUACUAAUAGUGAGAAAAACCUGCGUAGCACGUUAAUUGGUGAAUGUUAAAUAUAAGUGGAUGGUGGUUAUUGAACGAACAUGCACGAGAUAUUGAGUAAAGUGAAUCCGCAAAGCUUCCCAUUCUAACACACAUUGCUGCCGCUGCUUGAGAAAAGCAACCAAAAGCUAAUAAUACCAAUCUCAAAUAUUCAACAAUCUCAGUUUCCACAACUUCGAAAAAAACGAGUAACUAACUAAUAAGACAUUAAGGAAAAGAAAAAAAAAAUCCAGUUUUUAUAUAUCCAUAUAGGAAAAAUGGGAUAAAUCAGUGUGAUAUUUAAAGCAUUUUCUAGUAGCCUUAAUUUUAAUCACUUUCAACUUGUUGCUAAAGUGUUAGUUAUAUAAACCACAAUGUAAUGUGUUGCUCUUCGUAGGCUGCAAUAUCACAAUUUUUUUAUGCUAGGCACACGAGAGGAGUGGCACUAAUAGACUGAGGAAAGAGCAAGAUCCAAUUUGUAAAUUUUAGAAUCUGAAAUGAGAAAAUUUCAUUAUCAAAUAAUUAGGGUAGAAAAUCACUAAUUGGAGAAAGAUUUUACAAACUUUGUGUUUAAUGUGUUUUAUUUAAUAAACAACGUAUGUAGUUGUUAAUAGUUAAUGCAAUAAAAUUUCAUGUCAUUUGCAAACUUAAUAGUGUUUGGGAAAAGGGUCCAGGUAACAGCAAAGAAACAACUGACUCCUAAAAUGUUACAUUCUUGGAAGUUUUCCAUUGCAUAUCUGUAUGAGAUUAUGCAGACCUUCCAAUUUAAGAAGCUC